UGCAUCAGACAAUGUAAUCCCAGUUCGUCGCUGGAUACGUGGACAUUACACAAAAUUAACGAAUAUUGAUGAAGCAACAUGCAACCAUUGUAAUGAUAAAUAUAUUAUAUAUAUUAGGCAAUUACAUAUUUUACAUUUGCAUUUGAGAGAAAUACAUCCGGACAAAUUAACAGAAGAAGAGAAGAAAGAAGUGAAAUUCCAUUGGGCUUGGGACUAUUAUACUUUAAAAGACGAUGUAAGGGCAACAUGCAAUAUAUGUAAAAAAAUUAUUUAUUGCAAUUUCGUAUCUAAUUUAACGCAACACUUAAAAAAAGUUCACAAGAUAUUUGGUCCAAGUCCAGAUAGCGCAAUAAAUAACGAAAGCAGUUUAUAAAGCGAUGCAAACAGGGAUAUAUCUCUAAAAAAAGAAAAACAUCAAGAAGGUCCAUCUAACUCAUCAAACUUAUCUAAUUAUCCAUUACAGGAAUGUACAGAAGAAACAGGAACACUUAAUGAGAUGCAGCAGACAAUUUGAUCUCAUUCGCUGAAUACGUGGACAUUACACCAAAUUAACAAGUUGUAAUAAAGCAACAUGCAUUUAAUGAGAAAUUUAUUAUGUGUACCUAUUAGUUCCUAAAAACUUUACAAGAUCUUGGCAGAUGCACAUCCAGAUAAUGUAACAGAAGGAGAGAAAGAAGAAGUUGAAUUUCAUUGCGUUUAGGACUAUUUUACAGUAAAAAGUGGGACAGAGACAACGUGCAAAUAAAUGUAAAUUAACAAUUAGAGCUUCAUAUCGAGCACUUCAAUUUCAUUGGAUCAUAUUGCGGAGAGCCUUUUUCAUAAAUAUUCGGCAGAAUCUGUAAAAUUACCUAAUUCAGUUGACGAUUUAUCUUCUAAUGAAAUUUUGGACCU
Acromyrmex echinatior (Panamanian leafcutter ant) is the source of this 891-nucleotide long non-coding RNA. The record is from RefSeq and is a predicted model, not a curated record. NCBI's taxonomy places the organism in Eukaryota, Metazoa, Arthropoda, Insecta, Hymenoptera, Formicidae.